UAUAUAUGUAUGUAUGUAUAUAUAUAUAUAUACGACAUGGAAUGAUUGAGAAAAAUGAUAAGACGAAGAAGAGGAGGAAGAUUCAGAAGAUGGAAAAAGAGGAAUAAGAGGAACAAGAGGAAGAGGGUAAUCGGAAGAUGAAACAAGGGCGCACGCAUCGUCUUAAGUCGUCGUCAUCGUCAUUGUCAUCGUCAUCGUCAUCGUCAUCGUCAUCGUCAUCGUCAUCAUCAUCGUCAACGUCAUCGUCAACGUCCUUGUGGGGAUAUGCGAGCCGCACGUGUGCGAAAUUCAACCAGACAGAUCCCCCUCAAUCGAAAAUAUCACCCUUCUGUAUAAAGAGUGUACAUAGAUUUCGAUCGAAUGGGGACGAUGCACGGCCGGGAAAUGAGAUUUUGUUGAUACCGCUUGCGUUUCAACGACGUUUCAACGAGAGAGAGAGAGAGAGAGAGAGAGAGAGAGAUAGAGAUAGAGAAAAAGAUAGAAAGAAAGAAAGAAAGAAAGAGAAAAAAUACAGAACGUUUGAGUCCGAGAGUUUUAUAUCGAAAGAUGGACAGAGUUUUCGGAACGAUACAAAGAAUAUUACUUUUCUACGGUACAACCUAAAUAUAUAUAUAUAUAUAUAUAUGUGUGUGUGUGUGUGUAUGUGUGUAUAUAUAUUUCAUUCUUCUUUUCGUUUAGAAAUCUUUCUUUUUCUUUCUUUUUUCUUUUAAACGAAAACCAAAAAAAAAAAAAAUCUCUAUGCACAUACAGUAAAAAAAAAUAUAUAUAUAUAUAAAAGAAGAAGAAACGUUGGAAAAUCGAAGGGGUUAUAUCGCCUAUUGUUAUUCAUUCUCACGAUGUUUUACAGAACGUUAGAUGAACAUGUGAUAGAAAUAUUAUUAACGAUUAGUACGAGAUUUAACAAGUUGGUCGUAAAAAAAAAAAAGGGAGAGAGAAAACAAAGAGAAAUGGAGAGAACUCCUUCGAUUUUCUUCUCUCGAUAUAUUCGUUUUAACGAGCAAUACGCGUGCGUUUAUUCCGUUCCGGAAGACGGUGCAUAAUGUCAGCGAGAAAAGACGACGAUAGAUAGAGAGGCGACAUGUAAAAACAAUACUUAUGGAUUAUUACGAUCUAAUACACGAAAAGAUAAAAGAAAAAAAUUACACGCAUCUGUAAACAAUAUCCCUUUACCCUUUCCAUUUCCCGUCACACUUCCUCCUCCUAUUUCUCCUACCUCUACUUUAUCUCCCCACAUUGUAUAUUAUUAUUAAACAUUAAUUAAUUAUUAACGAUAAAAAAAAAAAAAAAGGAAAAGAGGAAAAAAAGUAAUCGAGACCUCUGGCGAGUAUUGGUGACGUUUUGUUAGAACGACGGAAACUAAAUUACUAUUGAAUUUUAAUUAAAUAAACAACAUUGAAAGUAA
Long non-coding RNA from Vespula pensylvanica (western yellowjacket), 1402 nucleotides. RefSeq lists it as uncharacterized. The transcript has 2 exons. NCBI's taxonomy places the organism in Eukaryota, Metazoa, Arthropoda, Insecta, Hymenoptera, Vespidae. The record is from RefSeq and is a predicted model, not a curated record.